AUGGUUUUGCUGCCUUUCUGGGAUAGGAGUUUAUGGCAUUAUGACAUGAUACAGAAGUAUUGCAGGCAUUCAGUCCUAUAUAUACCUACUACUAUUUUGAAAGAAACCCAACUCAAGCUUGGAUGUCUCCCUGGGCCUGCCUUUUAUGUUAAACAUGUAUGCUUUUUGACCAUAUUCUUAAUGUUAGUUUCAGGUGCAUAG
This 201-nucleotide ribosomal RNA is filed under the name Triticum aestivum (bread wheat). RNAcentral's name for it is "partial small subunit ribosomal RNA". Lineage: Eukaryota; Viridiplantae; Streptophyta; Magnoliopsida; Poales; Poaceae. The record is from RNAcentral.